ACACCACUUUUUUACACAAUUGCACAGAAAGUGUAGAUAAAGGGAACCCCCAGUGCCAGUGGAAACGCUGGCUUUUUGCGAGGGUAAGUACCUCACAGAAUAAGCAGUGGGCAAGACCGGUGCCAGCCGCCGCGGUAACACCAGCGCUGCAAGUGGGAGUCGCGAUUAUUGGGCCUAAAGCGUUCGUAGCCGGUUUGGUCAAUUCUCUGUUAAAUGCUCGGGCUCAACCUGAAAAAUGCAGAGGAGACUGCCAAACUAGAGAUUGGGAGGGGUUAGAGGUAUUUCAGGGGGAGCGGAAAAAUGCUAUAAUCCCUGAAAGACCACCUGUGGCGAAGGCGUCUAACGAGAACAACUCUGACGGUGAGGGACGAAGGCCAGGGGAGCGAAAGGGAUUAGAUACCCCUGUAGUCCUGGCAGUAAACACUGUGGGGUUAAAUAUUGGGUUUCCGCAGGGACAUCCAGUAUCGUAGCGAAGGGGUUAAACCCCCCGCCUGGGGAGUACGGUCGCAAGAUUGAAACUUAAAGGAAUUGGCGGGGGAAAGGGCGAAUCCGUUUAAACCUGCAGGACUAGUCCCUUUAGGGAGGGUUAAUUCUGAGCUUGGGGUAAUCAGGGUCAUAGCUGUUUUCCGGA
Molecule: ribosomal RNA, 631 nt
Filed under: uncultured Methanobacterium sp.
Lineage: Archaea; Methanobacteriati; Methanobacteriota; Methanobacteria; Methanobacteriales; Methanobacteriaceae
Description: bacterial SSU rRNA
Rfam family: Archaeal small subunit ribosomal RNA
Source: RNAcentral